UUUUGUAAGUAAAAAGUCGUAACAAGGUUUCCGUAGGUGAACCUUCGGAAGGAUCAUUACUGGAAGUAAAUAGUUGUAACAAGGUCUCUGCAACGUGAACCAGGCCAGGAGCCCCACCUCCUGACGGCGCGGCUCGGGCCGGGAUGUUCACAACCGUACCGUUUGUUCCUUCGGCGGGUGCAUAGCCAGCCGGCGUCCGAUCGGAAAACCCGGGUGGACAUAGCAUUAUACCUGUGUAACUUUGCAGUGAAUAGUAAACAACAUUCAACAAUUAAAACUUUCAACAACGGCUCUGAUGAAGAACGCAUCGAAGAAGAAUACAUAAAAUGAAUUGCAGAAUUCAGUGAAUCAUAAUUCAGUGAAUCAUACAAUGCGCCCACGCACAUCCGCCCCGCAUGCCUCCGGGGGGCUCAUUUGACACCCUCGUCAUUUCACCAGGCAAGGGCACCUGUGUAUUGGGCUAUGCGGUGGACCGCGCGCAAAGUCAUUACAGCUGUCGUCUUUCGUCCCAGCACAGCACGGAACGCAUGAGGGAAAGGUUGCAGGCUGAGGCCACGCCGAAGAACACCCCCAUCUACAAGGUGACCUCGGAUCAGGUGAGGACCAG
Molecule: ribosomal RNA, 607 nt
Filed under: Corynespora sp. P49-27
Lineage: Eukaryota; Fungi; Ascomycota; Dothideomycetes; Pleosporales; Corynesporascaceae
Description: partial 18S ribosomal RNA
Rfam family: Eukaryotic small subunit ribosomal RNA (bases 1-59)
Source: RNAcentral